Vicia villosa (hairy vetch) is the source of this 520-nucleotide long non-coding RNA. RefSeq lists it as uncharacterized. The transcript has 2 exons. NCBI's taxonomy places the organism in Eukaryota, Viridiplantae, Streptophyta, Magnoliopsida, Fabales, Fabaceae. The record is from RefSeq and is a predicted model, not a curated record.
AAGAAUCUUGACUCAAGAUGACGCGGGGAAAGCAGAAAAUCGAAGCGCAGAAGCGUAACGCUGAGAAGAAUCAGAGAUCCAAAGGCUCUCAGAUUGAAGCCAGAGCCGAAGGUCUCAAAAUCACGUGCCCAAUCUGCAAGGUCCAACUUGCAAAUCCAAACCAACUUAAUGAUCAUUAUGCCUCAAAACAUCCAAAGGAGAAGCCUCCAGGAGAAUCAAGCUAGUACAAGAGUUCCUUAGAGCAAAUAGUACAAAAGUUCCAAAACAAAUUUGCUCUUAGGUCUCAAUGUUUCUGCUUCCAAGCCAGAUUGCAACAUGUUUAGUAUUUUCUUAAAAUGUGCAUUAUUGUAAGAUACUUCUGACAUUGUGAGAAUAUUAUCUGGUUGUAUCAGUGCAUGCCAACUUAGAGUUUCUGCAACAAUACAUAACAUAACAUCCCUUUGCACUGCCUCUUAAGGAACUGCAAAAUGAAAAUAUUAUGGUGAUGCUAAAAAGUGGAAUGUUCAUUUCUUUUGUUGUU